Molecule: long non-coding RNA, 608 nt
Organism: Podarcis muralis (Common wall lizard)
Lineage: Eukaryota; Metazoa; Chordata; Lepidosauria; Squamata; Lacertidae
Source: RefSeq, a predicted model, not a curated record
CAGAAAGGCAGAAAUUUUGAACAAAACAUGAUUUGCCACCUACUCAACAGAUUUUACUAACAAUAUGAUGACUUUGAGGCUGCUCUCUGAAUUGUGACUUUUUUCUAAUGACUGCUCUUCUUGACAGAAGAUACGCAAUGAUUGUGGUUUCACCGACUAGUAUUGUGAGCAUAAUCCAGUCAAAAUCAAGUCCUAUUGCUACUAAUGGAAAAGUGGUGACCGUUUGCUUAAGUUGGCAAUGGAAACAAAUGGAACUGGCAAGCGUUGUUUAGAGGAGAGGUGAGCAAGAAUCUUCCCAGUCCGGCCAAGUUUACGUAUUUCAGCAGAGAAGAGAAAAUACAGUUAAAAGGUGUUUACAAGCCAAGUCAACCCUGUGAUUUGCUACUUGUGUUCAUUUUUUGCUUGAGAGGCACACACCUAUUGCAGACUUUAAGUCGGCAUUCCACAGCCAUGAAGAAAUUUCUUGUUUGUAAACCAAAGAGGAAGAAUUAUAAGCCAGACACUUACAUCACCUGACAGAUGUGUUUCUCAAUCACGACAGAACCUAAAUUGGAGGACUGUCUCGUCUAAGCACAGAUCAAACGGCCUACAAGCAGCCACACCAACGU